RNAcentral lists this ribosomal RNA (1484 nucleotides) under uncultured Bordetella sp. Its description in RNAcentral is "partial 16S-23S ribosomal RNA intergenic spacer". It matches the Rfam family "Bacterial small subunit ribosomal RNA". Lineage: Bacteria; Pseudomonadati; Pseudomonadota; Betaproteobacteria; Burkholderiales; Alcaligenaceae. The record is from RNAcentral.
CUGGGGAGUACUGUAGUAACAGAGGGUCUGAUUCUGGCUCAGAUUGAACGCUGGCGGGAUGCUUUACACAUGCAAGUCGAACGGCAGCACGGACUUCGGUCUGGCGGGCGAGUGGCGAACGGGUGAGUAAUGUAUCGGAACGUGCCUAGUAGCGGGGGAUAACUACGAAAGCGUAGCUAAUACCGCACACCGGGGAAAGCGGGGGCACCUUCGGCCUCGCACUAUUAGAGCGGCCGGGAUAUCGGAUUAGCCAGGCUGGUGGGGUAACGGGUCGUUUGGGCGACGCAUCCGUAGGCUGGUUUGAGGACGACCAGCCACACUGGGACUGAGACACGGCCCAGACUCCUACGGGAGGCAGCAGUGGGGAAUUUUUGACAAUGGGAAAUCCCUGAUCCAGCCAUCUUAUGUGUGCGAUGAAGGCUCUCGGGUUGUAAAGCACUUCUUUGGCAGGGAAAGAAACGGCACGGGAUAAUACCCCGUGCAACUGACGGUACCUUGCAGAAUAAGCACCCGGCUAACUACGUGCCAGCAGCCGCGGUAAUACGUAGGGUGCAAGCGGUUAAUCGGAAUUACUCAAGUAAAGCGUGCGCAGGCGGUUCGGAAAAAGAAAGAUGAAAUCCCAGAGCUUAACUUUGGAACUGCAUUUUUAACUACCGAGCUAGAGGUCAGAGGAGGAAAUCGCGUGUAGCAGUGAAAUGCGUAGAUAUGCGGAGGAACACCGAUGGCGAAGGUAGCUCGGGGAUAACACUGACGCUCAUGCACGAAAGCGUGGGGACAAGAGAUUAGAUACCCCUGGUAGUCCACGCCCUAAACGAUGUCAACUAGCUGUUGGGGCCUUCGGCCUGGUAGCGCAGCUAACGGUGAAGCGACCGCCUGGGGAGUACGGUCGCAAGAUUAAAACUCAAAGGAAUUGACGGGGACCCGCACAAGCGGUGGAUGACAGAUGAAUUGAUGUAAACGCGAAAACCUUACCUACCCUUGACAUGUCUGAAUCCCGAAGAGAUUUGGGAGUGCUCGUGGCAGAACCGCCAGGUGCUGCAUGGCUGUCGCCGCCCGUGUCGUGAGAUGUUGGGUUAAGUCCCGCAACGAGCGCAACCCUUGUCAAUAGUUGCCAUGAAAGGGCACUCCGCAUCGAGACUGCCGGUGACAAACCGGAGUGAAGGUGGGGAUGACGUCAAGUCCUCAUGGCCCUUAUGGGUAGGGCUUCACACGUCAUACAAUGGUCGACAGGAGGUCGCCAACCCGCGAGGGGAGCCAACCCCAGAAACCCGAUCGUAGUCCGGAUCGCAGUCUGCAACUCGACUGCGUGAAGUCGGAAUCGCUAGUAAUCGGCGGAUCAGCAUGUCGCGGUGAAUACGUUCCCGGUCUUGUACACACCGCCCGUCACACUGCUGGAGUGGGUUUUUACCAGAGUAGUUAGCCUAACUGGGGAGGGCGAUUACCACGGUAGGAUUCAUGACUGGGGUGAAGUCGUAAUAAGGUAG